This 376-nucleotide ribosomal RNA is filed under the name uncultured bacterium. Its description in RNAcentral is "bacterial SSU rRNA". It matches the Rfam family "Bacterial small subunit ribosomal RNA", at positions 521 to 896 of the family's 1533-position model. The record is from RNAcentral.
UAAUACGGAGGAUGCGAGCGUUAUCCGGAUUUAUUGGGUUUAAAGGGUGCGCAGGCGGACUCUCAAGUCAGCGGUCAAAUCGCGGGGCUCAACCCCGUUCCGCCGUUGAAACUGGGAGCCUUGAGUGCGCGAGAAGUAGGCGGAAUGCGUGGUGUAGCGGUGAAAUGCAUAGAUAUCACGCAGAACUCCGAUUGCGAAGGCAGCCUACCGGCGCGCAACUGACGCUCAUGCACGAAAGCGUGGGUAUCGAACAGGAUUAGAUACCCUGGUAGUCCACGCAGUAAACGAUGAACACUAACUGUCCGGCCCGAUUGGGGGCUGGGUGGUACAGCGAAAGCGUUAAGUGUUCCACCUGGGGAGUACGCCGGCAACGGUG